AAUUUUCCGCAAUGGGCGAAAGCCUGACGGAGCAAUACCCGCGUGAGGGAGGAAGGCUCUUGGGUCGUAAACCUCAUUCUCAAGGAAGAAGAAAGUGACGGUACUUGAGGAAUAAGCAUCGGCUAACUCCGUGCCAGCAGCAACGGUAAUACGGAGGAUGCAAGCGUUAUCCGGAAUGAUUGGGCGUAAACCUCUGCAGGUGGAAACUGAAAGUCUGCUGUUAAAGAGUUUGGCUUAACCAAAUAAAAGCGGUGGAAACUAAAGAACUAGAGUGCGGUAGGGGCAAAAGGAAUUCCUGGUGUAGCGGGGAAAUGCGUAGAUAACAGGAAGAACACCGGUGGCGAAAGCGUUUUGCUAGACCGUAACUGACACUGAGGGACGAAAGCUACCGGAGCGAAUGGGAUUAGAUACCCCAGUAGUCCUACCCGUAAACGAUGGAUACUAGGCGUGGCUUGUAUCGACCCGAGCCGUGCCGGAGCUAACGCGUUUAGUAUCCCGCCUGGGGAGUACGCACGCAAGUGUGAAACUCAAAGGAAUUGACGGGGGCCCGGACAAGCGGUGGAGUAUGUGGUUUAAUUCGAUGCAACGGGAAGAACCUUACCAAGACUUGACAUCCUGCGAAUCCUGGUGAAAGCUGGGAGUGCCAAUAGGGAGCGCAGAGACAGGUGGUGCAUGGCUGUCCGUCAGCUCGUGUCGUGAGAUGUUGGGUUAAGUCCCGCAACGAGCGCAACCCUCGUUUUAACUUGCCAGCAUUAAGUUGGGCACUCUAGAGAGACUGCCGGUGACAAACCGGAGGAACCGUGAGGAUGACGUCAAGUCAGCAUGCCCCUUACGUCUUGGGCUACACACGUACUACAAUGCUACGGACAGAGGGCAGCAAAGCCAGGGAUGGCAAGCGAAUCCAGUAACCGUAGCUCAGUUCAGAUCGAAGGCUGCAACUCGCCAUCGUGAAGGAGGAAUCGCUAGUAAUUGCAGGUCAGCAUACUGCAGUGAAUUCCUUCCCGGGCCUUGUACACACCGCCCGUCACACCAUGGAAGUUGGUCACGCCCGAAGUCAUUACCCCAACCGAAAGGAGGGGGAUGCCUAA
This 1088-nucleotide ribosomal RNA is filed under the name Cylindrospermopsis raciborskii TACR1. RNAcentral's name for it is "bacterial SSU rRNA". It matches the Rfam family "Bacterial small subunit ribosomal RNA", at positions 360 to 1460 of the family's 1533-position model. Lineage: Bacteria; Bacillati; Cyanobacteriota; Cyanophyceae; Nostocales; Aphanizomenonaceae. The record is from RNAcentral.